This is a non-coding RNA of Ornithorhynchus anatinus (platypus), 138 nucleotides long. The record is from Rfam. NCBI's taxonomy places the organism in Eukaryota, Metazoa, Chordata, Mammalia, Monotremata, Ornithorhynchidae.
CCCCUCUCAGGAUCGUGCCUGGAGAGUUUCCGGUACUCUACUAGUCUUGGCUAUGGGAGGGAUAGUCAAGCAGAGGCAUACCCAUUCCAUUCCUAGCUUGGGCAGUGGCUAGUGAGUAGUAGGCUAUUUGCUACAAGU